CACAUUUAUUCUGUGUCAGAAACCUAUGCUGUGUCAACUAUUUAAUCACAAUCCAAAUUCAGAGCUGUAUCAAGCUUGAAUGUUGUGUCCAUACUUGCCUCAACUGUUCAGGGUUGGGUUCGACCUCUGUGGUCGUAUAAUGCUGCGCCCUGCGGAGCAUCUGGUUCAUAUAGUCAUGAUAUUAAUUGUAUGCAAUAUGACUCUACAUUCCCCUCUAGAUGUUUUGUGUAUGUUAUUUGCUAGCUAUUGCAACAACGGUUAUCCCA
Molecule: long non-coding RNA, 266 nt
Filed under: Mytilus galloprovincialis (Mediterranean mussel)
Lineage: Eukaryota; Metazoa; Mollusca; Bivalvia; Mytilida; Mytilidae
Source: RNAcentral